This 468-nucleotide ribosomal RNA is filed under the name uncultured bacterium. RNAcentral describes it as "partial 16S ribosomal RNA". It matches the Rfam family "Bacterial small subunit ribosomal RNA", at positions 28 to 507 of the family's 1533-position model. The record is from RNAcentral.
GACGAACGCUGGCGGCGUGCUUAACACAUGCAAGUCGAACGGAAAGGCCCUGCUUUUGUGGGGUGCUCGAGUGGCGAACGGGUGAGUAACACGUGAGUAACCUGCCCUUGACUUUGGGAUAACUUCAGGAAACUGGGGCUAAUACCGGAUAGGAGCUCCUGCUGCAUGGUGGGGGUUGGAAAGUUUCGGCGGUUGGGGCUGGACUCGCGGCUUAUCAGCUUGUUGGUGGGGUAGUGGCUUACCAAGGCUUUGACGGGUAGCCGGCCUGAGAGGGUGACCGGACACAUUGGGACUGAGAUACGGCCCAGACUCCUACGGGAGGCAGCAGUGGGGAAUAUUGCACAAUGGGCGGAAGCCUGAUGCAGCAACGCCGCGUGCGGGAUGACGGCCUUCGGGUUGUAAACCGCUUUCGCCUGUGACGAAGCGUGAGUGACGGUAAUGGGUAAAGAAGCACCGGCUAACUACGUG